Molecule: non-coding RNA, 471 nt
Organism: Kogia breviceps (pygmy sperm whale)
Lineage: Eukaryota; Metazoa; Chordata; Mammalia; Artiodactyla; Physeteridae
Source: RefSeq, a predicted model, not a curated record
UCAACUGGACUGUCAGCUACAGCACCUGCACGAGGCUUCCUCGUGAGACGGGGGCUUCCUCACAACAUGGUGGCCUGCAGUGCUCUGACACCUUGGGGCCUGGCUGACCCUGGAGGGGCUGCCCUUCCCUGGGUAAACUAGCCCCUUGAGUGUACUUUUCAAAUGCAAACCAACCACUCCCACCACCUGCCCUGAUCAACCCAGGGCCAGGUACCAGGGGCAGCCCCUCUGUCCCAGAGCCCCCUGACAUAAUUCAAACAAUCCUAAGCCUGCUGACCCUGCCUUGCCUGUUCCCUUCCACGGAAACCACAGUAAAGGCUCUUGGCCACAUUUCUGCUCCUCUGGCUCUGUCUCCUGACCAACCCCAGCUCUCCCCCUGUGGCCCCCCAUGAUGUGGCAUGGCCCCUCUUCUUGGGGUCUAUAAGUUCAUCUGUACCAUUUUUCUAGAUUCCAGAUGUGGAGAAAAGGGAG